AUUGAACGCUGGUGGCAUGCCUUACACAUGCAAGUCGAACGGCAGCACGGGAGCAAUCCUGGUGGCGAGUGGCGAACGGGUGAGUAAUAUAUCGGAACGUGCCCAGUCGUGGGGGAUAACGGAGCGAAAGCUGUGCUAAUACCGCAUACGAUCUACGGAUGAAAGUGGGGGAUCGCAAGACCUCGCGCGAUUGGAGCGGCCGAUAUAAGAUUAGCUAGUUGGUGAGGUAAAGGCCCACCAAGGCGACGAUCUGUAGCUGGUCUGAGAGGACGACCAGCCACACUGGAACUGAGACACGGUCCAGACUCCUACGGGAGGCAGCAGUGGGGAAUUUUGGACAAUGGGCGAAAGCCUGAUCCAGCAAUGCCGCGUGCAGGAUGAAGGCCUUCGGGUUGUAAACUGCUUUUGUACGGUACGAAACGGUGAGCUCUAAUACAGUUUGCUAAUGACGGUACCGUAAGAAUAAGCACCGGCUAACUACGUGCCAGCCGCCGCCGUAA
This 500-nucleotide ribosomal RNA is filed under the name uncultured bacterium. RNAcentral's name for it is "partial 16S ribosomal RNA". It matches the Rfam family "Bacterial small subunit ribosomal RNA", at positions 30 to 523 of the family's 1533-position model. The record is from RNAcentral.